This is a long non-coding RNA of Cyprinus carpio carpio, 694 nucleotides long. The record is from Ensembl. NCBI's taxonomy places the organism in Eukaryota, Metazoa, Chordata, Actinopteri, Cypriniformes, Cyprinidae.
GUAGGAGUGUAUACUUACCCCGGACUUGUGAGCAUCAGCCUGGGAUGUUUCCAGCGCGGCUCUCCGCUCCCUCGACUGGGCCUGCUUCGGAUCUGCUUCCCCUUGGCCUCCAGCUCGAGAUGCACCGAGUGCAGCUCAAACGCGUCCUCACCUGCACUCAACGGUAGACACAACUCUGCCAUUUAAUGCAAGAAACAGACACCGUAGCCACCAGAUCCAGUCUGUAUCCAGAUCAGAUGGUCACUGCAGAACUGGACCCCCGACUGAGCCUGGUUUCUCCCAAGGCCCUGCUCAUGGCGGCUCUCCAAGACCAAAUAAAGCCAUUGUGGAGGGAAGUGGACAUGUGUCCGGAUGACCGGCCGGUGGCACAAAGGCCCCCUGCUCCAGUGCUGUCCUCAUGAUGCCUGGCCACCUUUAUGUGCCCUUUGCUACAAGGAGGAAACAUCUUUCAUCUCCUUUUCAAGGUGGAAAACACUGCCACCCUUACAAUGGCGGUGGGGAUUCAGCGUGUGCCAGGACACGUCAAAGUGUCAGCGUGUGAUGCUGCUUCGUCACGGAGAGCGUGGGAUGAGUCUCAACACAAGCCUCACACAUGCACAGAGAUGUCAUUCAUCUGCAUGUCAUCUUAAAAGAGACUUUAUCAUGAAGAAUUGAUUGCGAUUAACAAAAUCAGGCUAUUAUAACAAAAAGGAAG